GCCGGAAGGUGUCUUCCCUAGACUUACGCAGCCGACGGAACCGGAGUGUUACACCGAUGUUACAUCUACCGCAGCAAUGGAGUUGCAAGACGGCUGACCGUAAGUCCCUACAAAGGACUGUGAGGGCUGCUGAGAGGAUCAUUGGGGUCUCUCUUCCAUCCAUCAGAGCUUGAUGGUUGAGGGGUAAUAAUUGUUCCUGAACCUGUCGGUGAAGAUUCUGAGGCUUCUGUACCUUCUUCCUGAUGGUAGCACCGUGGAGAGCAUGAUGGGGGGUACUGAUGAUGGAUGCUGUUU
This is a long non-coding RNA of Mobula hypostoma (lesser devil ray), 294 nucleotides long. RefSeq lists it as uncharacterized. The record is from RefSeq and is a predicted model, not a curated record. The transcript is spliced from 3 exons. NCBI's taxonomy places the organism in Eukaryota, Metazoa, Chordata, Chondrichthyes, Myliobatiformes, Myliobatidae.